RNAcentral lists this long non-coding RNA (286 nucleotides) under Cyanistes caeruleus (blue tit). RNAcentral describes it as "lncRNA (ENSCCEG00000000955.1)". Lineage: Eukaryota; Metazoa; Chordata; Aves; Passeriformes; Paridae. The record is from RNAcentral.
UCAGCAUAAUCUGGAGUUUGACUUUUCACCCAAAACAAAGCAAAAGUCCUUGAGCCUUUACAGAAGUUAGUGGCACGUGUCAUUUAACAGCAUCUGGGGUCCUGCUCAUCUCCUGUGUGUGAUCCAGAUGAAUCCACACCACUGAGUCAGCAGAGCCCGGUAGAUUUAUGUCAGGACUUGAUUAUUCAGCAGUAGUUAAGGUGGAAGAAUGACAGAGGGGCUGGACAGGCAGGCACCAAGAAAAGCACAGGCUAAAGAAAGAGGGUUUGCAGUUGUUCCUAAGAAA